This 459-nucleotide ribosomal RNA is filed under the name uncultured bacterium. Its description in RNAcentral is "partial 16S ribosomal RNA". It matches the Rfam family "Bacterial small subunit ribosomal RNA", at positions 338 to 795 of the family's 1533-position model. The record is from RNAcentral.
CCUACGGGCGGCAGCAGUGAGGAAUAUUGGUCAAUGGUCGGGAGACUGAACCAGCCAAGCCGCGUGAGGGAUGAAGGUACAGAGUAUCGUAAACCUCUUUUGUCGGGGAGCAAAGGCGGGGACGUGUCGCCGGACGAGUGUACCUGAAGAAAAAGCAUCGGCUAACUCCGUGCCAGCAGCCGCGGUAAUACGGAGGAUGCGAGCGUUAUCCGGAUUUAUUGGGUUUAAAGGGUGCGCAGGCGGUCUGUAAAGUCAGCGGUAAAAUCCCGGGGCUCAACCCCGGCGCGCCGUUGAAACUGGGAGUCUCGAGUUGGAGAGAAGUAUGCGGAAUGCGCGGUGUAGCGGUGAAAUGCAUAGAUAUCGCGCAGAACUCCGAUUGCGAAGGCAGCAUGCCGGCUCUACACUGACGCUGAGGCACGAAAGCGUGGGUAUCGAACAGGAUUAGAUACCCCUGUAGUC